UGGAGUUACAAUGUGACACUUUUCAAUUGUU
Molecule: non-coding RNA, 31 nt
Filed under: Mus musculus (house mouse)
Lineage: Eukaryota; Metazoa; Chordata; Mammalia; Rodentia; Muridae
Source: RNAcentral